This 475-nucleotide ribosomal RNA is filed under the name uncultured Thermus sp. RNAcentral describes it as "bacterial SSU rRNA". It matches the Rfam family "Bacterial small subunit ribosomal RNA", at positions 916 to 1381 of the family's 1533-position model. Lineage: Bacteria; Thermotogati; Deinococcota; Deinococci; Thermales; Thermaceae. The record is from RNAcentral.
GACGGGGCCCGCACAAGCAGCGGAGCGUGUGGUUUAAUUCGAUGCAACGCGAAGAACCUUACCAGGGUUGACAUGCUUAAAGUAGAAACUCGAAAGAGGGACGACCUGUAUCCAAUCAGGAAAUUUGCACAGGUGCUGCAUGGCCGUCGUCAGCUCGUGCCGUGAGGUGUUGGGUUAAGUCCCGCAACGAGCGCAACCCCGCCGUUAGUUGCCAGCGGUUCGGCCGGGCACUCUAACGGGACUGCCCGCGAAAGCGGGAGGAAGGAGGGGACGACGUCUGGUCAGCAUGGCCCUUACGGCCUGGGCGACACACGUGCUACAAUGCCCACUACAAAGCGAGGCCACCCGGCAACGGGGAGCUAAUCGCAAAAAGGUGGGCCCAGUUCGGAUUGGGGUCUGCAACCCGACCCCAUGAAGCCGGAAUCGCUAGUAAUCGCGGAUCAGCCAUGCCGCGGUGAAUACGUUCCCGGGCCUU